UUACUGGGCGUAAAGCGCACGCAGGCGGUUGGAUAAGUUAGAUGUGAAAGCCCCGGGCUCAACCUGGGAAUUGCAUUUAAAACUGUCCAGCUAGAGUCUUGUAGAGGGGGGUAGAAUUCCAGGUGUAGCGGUGAAAUGCGUAGAGAUCUGGAGGAAUACCGGUGGCGAAGGCGGCCCCCUGGACAAAGACUGACGCUCAGGUGCGAAAGCGUGGGGAGCAAACAGGAUUAGAUACCCUGGUAGUCCACGCCGUAAACGAUGUCGAUUUGGAGGCUGUGUCCUUGAGACGUGGCUUCCGGAGCUAACGCGUUAAAUCGACCGCCUGGGGAGUACGGCCGCAAGGUUAAAACUCAAAUGAAUUGACGGGGGCCCGCACAAGCGGUGGAGCAUGUGGUUUAAUUCGAUGCAACGCGAA
This 415-nucleotide ribosomal RNA is filed under the name uncultured Aeromonas sp. RNAcentral describes it as "bacterial SSU rRNA". It matches the Rfam family "Bacterial small subunit ribosomal RNA", at positions 551 to 965 of the family's 1533-position model. The record is from RNAcentral. Lineage: Bacteria; Pseudomonadati; Pseudomonadota; Gammaproteobacteria; Aeromonadales; Aeromonadaceae.